UUCAGCCACACUUUGCGGCGC
RNAcentral lists this non-coding RNA (21 nucleotides) under Arabidopsis thaliana (thale cress). The record is from RNAcentral. Lineage: Eukaryota; Viridiplantae; Streptophyta; Magnoliopsida; Brassicales; Brassicaceae.